UUUAAAUUAUUAUGCUUAUUAAUGAAACCUAUUAUUGCACAAGAUUUAACAACGUUCCAACAAGUUGCUCGCUCUUUAAAAAGAGCUUUUCAUACGCGAGGACAAAUAUCAUGAUAAAAGCGAGCUCAAAUGCGCCUGAACAAUGGCAGUAGUCAAAGCGAGAUGAGAAAUCACCCACACACGUACGUAAUUACGAUAAUGGUCGCGACACAAAUGCUCGUCACAAUAAAUAAGCAUCGUAAAAUAA
This 247-nucleotide long non-coding RNA is filed under the name Polistes fuscatus (common paper wasp). RNAcentral's name for it is "uncharacterized LOC122522333". Lineage: Eukaryota; Metazoa; Arthropoda; Insecta; Hymenoptera; Vespidae. The record is from RNAcentral.